UCGUAACAAGGUUUCCGUAGGUGAACCUGCGGAAGGAUCAUUAGUGAAUAUAGGACGUCCAACUUAACUUGGAGUCCGAACUCUCACUUUCUAACCCUGUGCAUUUGUUUGGGAUAGUAACUCUCGCAAGAGGGCGAACUCCUAUUCACUUAUAAACACAAAGUCUAUGAAUGUAUUAAAUUUUAUAACAAAAUAAAACUUUCAACAACGGAUCUCUUGGCUCUCGCAUCGAUGAAGAACGCAGCGAAAUGCGAUAAGUAAUGUGAAUUGCAGAAUUCAGUGAAUCAUCGAAUCUUUGAACGCACCUUGCGCUCCAUGGUAUUCCGUGGAGCAUGCCUGUUUGAGUGUCAUGAAUACUUCAACCCUCCUCUUUCUUAAUGAUUGAAGAGGUGUUUGGUUUCUGAGCGCUGCUGGCCUUUAGGGUCUAGCUCGUUCGUAAUGCAUUAGCAUCCGCAAUCGAACUUCGGAUUGACUUGGCGUAAUAGACUAUUCGCUGAGGAAUUCUAGUCUUCGGACUAGAGCCGGGUUGGGUUAAAGGAAGCUUCUAAUCAGAAUGUCUACAUUUUAAGAUUAGAUCUCAAAUCAGGUAGGACUACCCGCUGAACUUAAGCAUAUCA
Molecule: unclassified non-coding RNA, 617 nt
Filed under: Rhodotorula mucilaginosa
Lineage: Eukaryota; Fungi; Basidiomycota; Microbotryomycetes; Sporidiobolales; Sporidiobolaceae
Description: sequence contains 18S rRNA gene, ITS1, 5.8S rRNA gene, ITS2, 28S rRNA gene
Rfam family: 5.8S ribosomal RNA (bases 197-350)
Source: RNAcentral